This 425-nucleotide ribosomal RNA is filed under the name uncultured bacterium. RNAcentral's name for it is "partial 16S ribosomal RNA". It matches the Rfam family "Bacterial small subunit ribosomal RNA", at positions 354 to 796 of the family's 1533-position model. The record is from RNAcentral.
GUUAGGAAUAUUGGACAAUGGGCGCAAGCCUGAUCCAGCCAUGCCGCGUGAGUGAUGAAGGCCUUCGGGUUGUAAAGCUCUUUAGUUCACGAAUAUAAUGACUGUAGUGGAAGAAUAAGCCCCGGCUAACUUCGUGCCAGCAGCCGCGGUAAUACGAAGGGGGCGAGCGUUAUUCGGACUCACUGGGCGUAAAGCGUGCGUAGGCUGUUUUGUAAGUCAGAAGUGAAAGCCCAGGGCUUAACCCUGGAAUUGCUUUAGAAACUACAAGACUCGAAUUCGGGAGAGGAUAGCGGAAUUGUCAGUGUAGCAGUGAAAUGCGUAGAUAUUGACAGGAACACCAGUGGCGCAAGCGGCUAUCUGGACCGAUAUUGACGCUGAGGCACGAAAGCGUGGGGAGCAAACAGGAUUAGAAACCCGAGUAGUCC